This 261-nucleotide transfer-messenger RNA is filed under the name Muribaculaceae bacterium. RNAcentral's name for it is "partial transfer-messenger RNA". It matches the Rfam family "transfer-messenger RNA", at positions 1 to 222 of the family's 374-position model. Rfam says of the family: Bacterial tmRNA, also known as 10Sa RNA or SsrA, is named for its dual tRNA and mRNA-like properties. Its role is to liberate the mRNA from a stalled ribosome. The record is from RNAcentral. Lineage: Bacteria; Pseudomonadati; Bacteroidota; Bacteroidia; Bacteroidales; Muribaculaceae.
GGGGGUGACUGGCUUUGACAGCGUGUAGAAGCGGUAAGCAAGCAUGCAGAGCCUUGAUGCGUAAGCUCUAUAAUACCGACGUAUCGAACUAUAAUUGGCGAAAAUAACAAUUACGCUCUCGCUGCGUGAUCUGAAGUACAGUAGGAUCCCUUUAUUCUGCUCAAAGUGAGUAGAACGAGACAUCGCUCCAUUGCCCCGUUCCGAGACGUUUGGACAAAGCGGUGCUGAGAAAUUCGGAAAUAGGAGAGAGGCAGCCUUGAC